GACGUAGGGGGCCAGCGUUGCUCGGAAUUACUGGGCGUAAAGGGUUCGUAGGCGGUGUGGCAAGUCGGGAGUGAAAUCUCUGGGCUUAACUCAGAGGCUGCUUCCGAAACUGCCGUGCUAGAGUGCGGGAGAGGCGAGUGGAAUUGCAGGUGUAGCGGUGAAAUGCGUAGAUAUCUGCAGGAACACCCGUGGCGAAGGCGGCUCGCUGGACCGCAACUGACGCUGAGGAACGAAAGCUAGGGAGCAAACAGG
Molecule: ribosomal RNA, 252 nt
Filed under: uncultured bacterium
Lineage: Bacteria
Description: partial 16S ribosomal RNA
Rfam family: Bacterial small subunit ribosomal RNA
Source: RNAcentral